Molecule: long non-coding RNA, 1097 nt
Organism: Anas platyrhynchos (mallard)
Lineage: Eukaryota; Metazoa; Chordata; Aves; Anseriformes; Anatidae
Source: RefSeq, a predicted model, not a curated record
CUUUGCAUGAAGCAUGGGCCAAGGGACUCUGCAGGAUGAGUGGUGAGCUACCAAAAUCUUGUGCCUCACUCUCACACACCUGAUGGUUUCUCCCUGUGCCUCUGAGAGGGCAGGCUCUGCCAAUCUUACAAGGUAUGAAGACUUUCAGGAUACUGAACUGGUUUUCUCUGACAAUCUUCUUAGAUCAUAGGGUCUUUACAGUCUUAGGAAAUGUAGUUGUGUUCCUCCUCCCAAAGAGAAACUGGAUUCAAAAGAACUCAAAAGAAAGCAUGAACUCAAAGAAAGCAUGGGGAUGCAAAGAGAAUCCCAGAAAGAAGACCCCUCCUGAUCUCUGUUAGAGAGUGUAUUAUUCUUCAGACCCCUUCUGAAAAACCCGAUGGAAGAGACAAAGAUUAAAGGACAAACACAACACACCUUGGUUAAUGUACCAAUGGAAUGACAACAAACAUUUGGUACAGGCCAGCUGGGUCUCUGCUGAAAAGGAAAAGUGAGUCAUUUUCUGUUGACAUCUUUGGAACACAUAAAGUGGAGGUUCCUGGAGACCAGGUAAAUAAAGAGAUAAAUAAAAUGAAGUUUCUAUUGCCCAUGGAUUUAGGAGGUGGAAGGGAAUGAAGUGCCUCCUGUCCUGAAGUAACAUUCCUUUCUCUCUGACAAAAACCUCGUAUAUCCUGCUCACAUACUCAAGAUUAAUCACCAAGCUAAGUUUGGGUUCAGGAGUGAAUUAUUUUCCAUCUGCAAUGAAAAGUGUCUAUCAGGACUUUGGUGCAGAAUGGGGUGGCAGGGGGAGUAUGGCAUCUCCUGUGGAAGUGUGGGAACAGUUCUUUGUUUUGGGUCCUCUGAGAGUGUUAUUCAUCUGGGACUUUUAUUCAACAGACCUCCUUCAAUAACUGAGAAUCUUGGACUUAGGUACAAACUCUUCUAUGCUUAUAAAAGUGUGUACAGUUAUAAAACUGGUGUUGAUUCUGACGUGAAUGACACCACCUGACAACACAUUCUUCGCUAUGAACACAGUAAUAAAAUUGCAUGGAUAAGGGAGUGUUAUGCACAUACCUUAUUGUCUCUAGGUUUCAAAAGCCACAUCCUACAGCCAUCGAAUG